UCAUAACAAUACAAUAUAAAGAGACAUAUUUGAAAACAUCAAGAUUUUUAUAAGAACAACAUAUGAAAGUUGAACUUUAUAGAGAUAUAUUUGUCAUUUACUAUAUUUGUAGGGAGCUGUAUGAAAUUAACGUUAUAAAUUAAUGCUCAUGCAUAUAUUUUAUAAUCCAUCCCCUCUACUCAAAUCCAAACUAUCACAUUUUACUAAUAACAUAUACAUCCAU
This 223-nucleotide long non-coding RNA is filed under the name Ananas comosus (pineapple). Its description in RNAcentral is "long non-coding RNA (ACOM_LNC041127)". The record is from RNAcentral. Lineage: Eukaryota; Viridiplantae; Streptophyta; Magnoliopsida; Poales; Bromeliaceae.